GACGAACGCUGGCGGCGUGCUUAACACAUGCAAGUCGAACGGAAAGGCACUGCUUUUGUGGGGUGAUCGAGUGGCGAACGGGUGAGUAUCAAGUGAGUAACCUGCUCUUGUCUUUGGGAUAACUUCAGGAAACUGGGGCUACUCCCGUAUCGGAGCUCCUGUUCCAUGGUGGGGGUUGGAACGUUUCGGCGGUCGGGGAUGGAUUCGCGGAUUAUCAGCUUGUUGGUUGGGUAGUGGCUUACCCAGGCUUUGACGGGUAGCCGGCCUGGGAAGGUGACCGGCCACAUUGGGACUGAGAUACGGCCCAGACUCCAACGGGAGGCAGCAGUGGGGAAUAUUGCACAAUGGGCGGAAGCCUGAUGCAGCAACGCCGCGUGCGGGAUGACGGCCUUCUGGUUGAAAACCGCUGUCGCCUGUGACGAAGCGGGAGUGACGGUAAUGAGUAAAGAAGCACCGGCUAACUACGUG
Molecule: ribosomal RNA, 468 nt
Filed under: uncultured bacterium
Lineage: Bacteria
Description: partial 16S ribosomal RNA
Rfam family: Bacterial small subunit ribosomal RNA
Source: RNAcentral